CGAGCCCUGCCGCUGAACCCGGGAUUCAAUCGCUUUCAAGCUGGCAGGGACGGGGGAACCAAGUUUCCGCGGCUUCACCGAAGCCUUGGGGUUAAGUCGAUAUCGCCUUCCGUCCCUGACGAAGCGCGCUACCGGCCGGGUAUCUCCAACCCGAACCCGACAGCUCACCCCGCAGGCAUGGGAGAGGCGAUCA
This 193-nucleotide small RNA is filed under the name Pseudarthrobacter chlorophenolicus. RNAcentral's name for it is "Arthrobacter chlorophenolicus c-di-AMP sequence". It matches the Rfam family "c-di-AMP riboswitch aptamer (ydaO/yuaA leader)". From Rfam's summary of the family: This family represents a conserved RNA structure found upstream of the ydaO and yuaA genes in Bacillus subtilis and related genes in other bacteria. The ydaO/yuaA element is thought to act as a genetic "off" switch for the ydaO and yuaA genes in its native state. Lineage: Bacteria; Bacillati; Actinomycetota; Actinomycetes; Micrococcales; Micrococcaceae. The record is from RNAcentral.